This 550-nucleotide ribosomal RNA is filed under the name uncultured bacterium. RNAcentral's name for it is "partial 16S ribosomal RNA". It matches the Rfam family "Bacterial small subunit ribosomal RNA", at positions 355 to 900 of the family's 1533-position model. The record is from RNAcentral.
UGGGGAAUUUUGGACAAUGGGCGAAAGCCUGAUCCAGCAAUGCCGCGUGUGUGAAGAAGGCCUUCGGGUUGUAAAGCACUUUUGUCCGGAAAGAAAUCCUUGGCUCUAAUACAGUCGGGGGAUGACGGUACCGGAAGAAUAAGCACCGGCUAACUACGUGCCAGCAGCCGCGGUAAUACGUAGGGUGCAAGCGUUAAUCGGAAUUACUGGGCGUAAAGCGUGCGCAGGCGGUUUGCUAAGACCGAUGUGAAAUCCCCGGGCUCAACCUGGGAACUGCAUUGGUGACUGGCAGGCUAGAGUAUGGCAGAGGGGGGUAGAAUUCCACGUGUAGCAGUGAAAUGCGUAGAGAUGUGGAGGAAUACCGAUGGCGAAGGCAGCCCCCUGGGCCAAUACUGACGCUCAUGCACGAAAGCGUGGGGAGCAAACAGGAUUAGAUACCCUGGUAGUCCACGCCCUAAACGAUGUCAACUAGUUGUGGGGAUUCAUUCCUUAGUAACGUAGCUAACGCGUGAAGUUGACCGCCUGGGGAGUACGGUCGCAAGAUUAAAAC